RNAcentral lists this ribosomal RNA (253 nucleotides) under uncultured bacterium. RNAcentral describes it as "partial 16S ribosomal RNA". It matches the Rfam family "Bacterial small subunit ribosomal RNA", at positions 524 to 776 of the family's 1533-position model. The record is from RNAcentral.
UACGGGGGGAGCAAGCGUUGUUCGGAUUUACUGGGCGUAAAGAGCGCGCAGGCGGUCGUUCAAGUCGCGUGUGAAAGCCCCCGGCUCAACUGGGGAGGGUCACGCGAUACUGAUCGACUGGAAGGCAGGAGAGGGUAGUGGAAUUCCAGGUGUAGCGGUGAAAUGCGUAGAUAUCUGGAGGAACACCGGUGGCGAAGGCGGCAUCCUGGACCGGUAUUGACGCUGAGGCGCGAAAGCUAGGGGAGCAAACGGG